RNAcentral lists this ribosomal RNA (2647 nucleotides) under Salmonella enterica. RNAcentral's name for it is "bacterial LSU rRNA". It matches the Rfam family "Bacterial large subunit ribosomal RNA", at positions 396 to 2925 of the family's 2925-position model. The record is from RNAcentral. Lineage: Bacteria; Pseudomonadati; Pseudomonadota; Gammaproteobacteria; Enterobacterales; Enterobacteriaceae.
GCUGUGAGCUCGAUGAGUAGGGCGGGACACGUGGUAUCCUGUCUGAAUAUGGGGGGACCAUCCUCCAAGGCUAAAUACUCCUGACUGACCGAUAGUGAACCAGUACCGUGAGGGAAAGGCGAAAAGAACCCCGGCGAGGGGAGUGAAAAAGAACCUGAAACCGUGUACGUACAAGCAGUGGGAGCACCCUUCGGGGUGUGACUGCGUACCUUUUGUAUAAUGGGUCAGCGACUUAUAUUCUGUAGCAAGGUUAACCGUAUAGGGGAGCCGGAGGGAAACCGAGUCUUAAUUGGGCGUUAAGUUGCAGGGUAUAGACCCGAAACCCGGUGAUCUAGCCAUGGGCAGGUUGAAGGUUGGGUAACACUAACUGGAGGACCGAACCGACUAAUGUUGAAAAAUUAGCGGAUGACCUGUGGCUGGGGGUGAAAGGCCAAUCAAACCGGGAGAUAGCUGGUUCUCCCCGAAAGCUAUUUAGGUAGCGCCUCGUGAAUUCAUCUCCGGGGGUAGAGCACUGUUUCGGCUAGGGGGCCAUCCCGGCUUACCAACCCGAUGCAAACUGCGAAUACCGGAGAAUGUUAUCACGGGAGACACACGGCGGGUGCUAACGUCCGUCGUGAAGAGGGAAACAACCCAGACCGCCAGCUAAGGUCCCAAAGUCAUGGUUAAGUGGGAAACGAUGUGGGAAGGCCCAGACAGCCAGGAUGUUGGCUUAGAAGCAGCCAUCAUUUAAAGAAAGCGUAAUAGCUCACUGGUCGAGUCGGCCUGCGCGGAAGAUGUAACGGGGCUAAACCAUGCACCGAAGCUGCGGCAGCGAACGUAUCACCCAAGACAACUUUACGGAGUUGACGAUUGACGGAGCGAAGCGACGUCAAAGCGUUCAUUAAAGUCGAGUUGGCUUAGGGAUACGUUCGUUGGGUAGGGGAGCGUUCUGUAAGCCUGUGAAGGUGUGUCGUGAGGCAUGCUGGAGGUAUCAGAAGUGCGAAUGCUGACAUAAGUAACGAUAAAGCGGGUGAAAAGCCCGCUCGCCGGAAGACCAAGGGUUCCUGUCCAACGUUAAUCGGGGCAGGGUGAGUCGACCCCUAAGGCGAGGCCGAAAGGCGUAGUCGAUGGGAAACGGGUUAAUAUUCCCGUACUUGGUGUUACUGCGAAGGGGGGACGGAGAAGGCUAUGUUGGCCGGGCGACGGUUGUCCCGGUUUAAGCGUGUAGGUGUGUGUUCCAGGUAAAUCCGGUUCACUUUAACACUGAGGCGUGACGACGAGGCACUACGGUGCUGAAGCAACAAAUGCCCUGCUUCCAGGAAAAGCCUCUAAGCAUCAGGUAACACGAAAUCGUACCCCAAACCGACACAGGUGGUCAGGUAGAGAAUACCAAGGCGCUUGAGAGAACUCGGGUGAAGGAACUAGGCAAAAUGGUGCCGUAACUUCGGGAGAAGGCACGCUGACACGUAGGUGAAGUGAUUUACUCAUGGAGCUGAAGUCAGUCGAAGAUACCAGCUGGCUGCAACUGUUUAUUAAAAACACAGCACUGUGCAAACACGAAAGUGGACGUAUACGGUGUGACGCCUGCCCGGUGCCGGAAGGUUAAUUGAUGGGGUCAGCGUAAGCGAAGCUCCUGAUCGAAGCCCCGGUAAACGGCGGCCGUAACUAUAACGGUCCUAAGGUAGCGAAAUUCCUUGUCGGGUAAGUUCCGACCUGCACGAAUGGCGUAAUGAUGGCCAGGCUGUCUCCACCCGAGACUCAGUGAAAUUGAACUCGCUGUGAAGAUGCAGUGUACCCGCGGCAAGACGGAAAGACCCCGUGAACCUUUACUAUAGCUUGACACUGAACAUUGAGCCUUGAUGUGUAGGAUAGGUGGGAGGCUUUGAAGUGUGGACGCCAGUCUGCAUGGAGCCGACCUUGAAAUACCACCCUUUAAUGUUUGAUGUUCUAACGUGGACCCGUAAUCCGGGUUGCGGACAGUGUCUGGUGGGUAGUUUGACUGGGGCGGUCUCCUCCUAAAGAGUAACGGAGGAGCACGAAGGUUGGCUAAUCCUGGUCGGACAUCAGGAGGUUAGUGCAAUGGCAUAAGCCAGCUUGACUGCGAGCGUGACGGCGCGAGCAGGUGCGAAAGCAGGUCAUAGUGAUCCGGUGGUUCUGAAUGGAAGGGCCAUCGCUCAACGGAUAAAAGGUACUCCGGGGAUAACAGGCUGAUACCGCCCAAGAGUUCAUAUCGACGGCGGUGUUUGGCACCUCGAUGUCGGCUCAUCACAUCCUGGGGCUGAAGUAGGUCCCAAGGGUAUGGCUGUUCGCCAUUUAAAGUGGUACGCGAGCUGGGUUUAGAACGUCGUGAGACAGUUCGGUCCCUAUCUGCCGUGGGCGCUGGAGAACUGAGGGGGGCUGCUCCUAGUACGAGAGGACCGGAGUGGACGCAUCACUGGUGUUCGGGUUGUCAUGCCAAUGGCACUGCCCGGUAGCUAAAUGCGGAAGAGAUAAGUGCUGAAAGCAUCUAAGCACGAAACUUGCCCCGAGAUGAGUUCUCCCUGAGACUUAGAGUCUCCUGAAGGAACGUUGAAGACGACGACGUUGAUAGGCCGGGUGUGUAAGCGCAGCGAUGCGUUGAGCUAACCGGUACUAAUGAACCGUGAGGCUUAACCUUACAACGCCGAAG